UUUAAAGUUUGGCCUGCUCCAUGACUAAGUUAAAUAGCCGCAGUAUUUUGACUGUGCAAAGGUAGCAUAAUCAUUAGUUUUUUAAUUGAAAGCUGGAAUGAAGGGUCGGAUGAGAAAGAAUCUGUCUCAUUCUAAUUUAUUUGAAUUUUAUUUUUAAGUUAAAAAGCUUAAAUUUUAUAGAAAGACGAGAAGACCCUAUAGAGUUUAAUAAGUUAAGAUUUGAUUAUCUGAGGAUUUUAAUGUAAUUAUUUUUUGACUUGUUUUGUUGGGGUGACAUUAGAAUUGAAUAAACUUCUUAAUAUUUAAACAUUGAUUUAUGAGUUAAUGAUCCUGAUUUUUGGAUUUAAAGAUUAAAUUACCUUAGGGAUAACAGCGUAAUCUUUUUGGAGAGUUCUAAUCGAUAAAAGGGAUUGCGACCUCGAUGUUGGAUUAAAGUUAAGUUUCGGUGUAGGAGCUGAAAUUUUGAGUCUGUUCGACUUUUAAAACUUUACA
RNAcentral lists this ribosomal RNA (492 nucleotides) under Meloe proscarabaeus. Its description in RNAcentral is "partial 16S ribosomal RNA". It matches the Rfam family "Bacterial large subunit ribosomal RNA", at positions 1846 to 2600 of the family's 2925-position model. The record is from RNAcentral. Lineage: Eukaryota; Metazoa; Arthropoda; Insecta; Coleoptera; Meloidae.